Molecule: long non-coding RNA, 5945 nt
Filed under: Taeniopygia guttata (zebra finch)
Lineage: Eukaryota; Metazoa; Chordata; Aves; Passeriformes; Estrildidae
Description: lncRNA (ENSTGUG00000025064.1)
Source: RNAcentral
AUGCCCAUGGACAGAACAGAAGCUGGGCUGGGGCUGGACCACGUGGCAGCCAUGCUCCAUCCCUGGGGCAUCAUGAGGCUCUCUCUGCCGGGCAAGAACAGGGCUGGGCUGUGUUCUCCAGCCUCUCCUGCAGCCCCUCAGCAGCUCUGGCCGCGCUCGCUCUUUACCAGAUGCAGCCCUGGAGCGGACACAAGAACAGGAACCCGCCCGUGGCCACUUCCGCAGAACAGCGCAGGUACCUGCGGCCAUCCCCACCUGGGCUGGGCCUGCUGGCACUGCUCAGCCCAGCACCGAGUGGUUGAGCACUCCAUGCAUUCUCCCUCUCUUCCUGCCCUUCUCCUGCAGACCAUCCGUCAAUUCAUCACGUGCAUUUGGCAGGAAGAGAGCACAGGUGUGGGCACCGGGAUCUUGGCAAGCUUUCACCUCUUCAGUGCCGAGACCAGUGCUGCCAUGCUGGAUUUGCUGGUGGAGAAGGGUGUCUCCAAUGCAAAGCAAGUGCCAGCCAUGGUGAGGUACAUCCACCGGUGGCUCACGGCCAACGAGUCUGCUGAGCACAGGCUGGACAAGGCCCUUCUGGAGCUGACCAAGGAAUACCCCUCUGACGUGCUGAUCACUCUCUUGCGCUGGGCCCCAUCGUGUGACAGAGCUGCCGUGACCAUGUGGGGGACCAUCAUGUCCUCGAGCAGGACCGCCGAGCCGGCGCUGCAGAUCCUCCUCGAUGUGCUGAGCGCCUGGCCAGAGGACAGCGUGUACACCUCCGAUGGGGACAGCACAGGGGUCUUUGCCCUGGCUGCAACAGUAACAAUGUGGAGGGUCUUCAAUCUGACCUGGUGCCCACCUGUAGUGCAGGUAUAUUUCCCCAAACUCCUUCUGCGUCUGCUCUUCCAAGCUUACAUCAGCACGCUGGAUAUGCCAGAAGAGGUGGAUACCUUCUGGAAGAGAUGCCAGGAGCAACACGACCUUGCUGCCCACCCCAACAGCUUUGCACUGCAGACCCUGAAGGCCCUGCUCUGCCAAAUGCAGUACGAUGACGUGGUGGUAGCAAUGGAACGCAGGUGUGCCUGGAACAUGCUGCUCUGUGCCCACACCCACCACUAUGCAGUGGGUCUGCUGGCCAGGGAGAUGCGCCGUGUCUCCAUCAUCUGGCGCUGCAGGAUCGCAUCCUGCCUCUUUGACCUACUCAGCCAAGACAUUUCAGACUGGGAACUGCCCGCCCUGACGUUCCUGGUGGAGGUCCUGGACUGCCUGGACUUGAGUGAAUGCGGUGAAAAGGUCCUGCAGAUCAUGACAAGGCACCUGAAGAGACGGUCCAGAGAGAUGCGUCGCGUGGCACUCAGAGGCCUCGUGGUGCUCAGCCAGGACCCCUCGAUGAACCAAAGAAUGUACAGCCUGACUGAAAGCCUUGGCAACCUCCUGCGGGCCGUGGAUGAAGACAUUGUUGAGAUGACCCUCGUUGUUCUCAGCUCUCUGCUCUUCAACAAAGAGAUAGCAAUAGCCAGCCCCAUCGCCCUGCAGCUGGCUGAGGCGCUCUGGCAACUCUUCGACAAUGACAACAGCCUUGUGAAGCUGCUCUCCGUUCGCCUCUUCCAAGAGGUGAUGAACUUGGUGGUGGCCAAGGGAAAAAAGCCCCUGAAGAAGCAUGUGAGGCAGAGCCUGCUCCCACUCUUCUUCAACUGCCACGAUGAGAACUGGGGUGUGGCACAGGCCUCUUGGGAAACGCUGCUUUCUGCAGUAAGGUUCCUGAAGAGAAGGGAUCUUCAGCACCUGGUGAACACAGAUCAGAUGUGGAGCUUUGCUGAGCGCUUGGUAAGGACAGCCCAGAAGCCCCAGCCCCAGCCUGGAGAAGCCGCCUGCCCACGGUGCCCAGUCUGUGGGGCUGGCAGCUGCAGCCCCUGCCCAGUGCUGCACGCAGGGGCACCGGCCGGCGCCCCACACGCCGCUGCCUUCCCGGGGCCACCCGGGCUCUGCUCCAGGCUCCUCUGGCCCCAAGCCCGGCGCUGAGGGAGCCCCGAGGCGGCCGGGCUCUGCCGCGGGGCGGGGGUUUAUAAAGGUGCUGAAGUCUGUUCCAGGAAUGCAUGGCGCUCAUGGUCAUGGUUGUGCAGCCAGUUUGUUAGAGGGGAAGCAGAGGAUGAGGCUUUUCAGCCUUUGCUUUCCUUCUCCUCUGAAUCUCUUACCUUCUUAUUAGAGAAUGUUCCGUUUCCCCUGACGGUUAAAGAGACCAUCUUUUUGGUGUUUAAUCUGGUAAGCUUUCUCUGUACAGUCUGCAGUCUCUCUAGAAUGAGGGCUGAGAUUUCUGGAGGGGAUGGUGAGACCCCUGACUCAGAAGUAGACCCAGGUGUGAGAAAUCCUGAGCGGUCUGGGAAAUUGGAGGAUAUGGGCCAAAUCUUAAAGGAAUUUUCUGACCCUAUAGCCUGGGACUUCCCAUGUGAACAAAUUCAGAAUCCAGCUGAGGUGGCGAAAUACCUGAAAGAAAAGUGCUAUGAUAACUCGAAGGAGAAAAAGAUCAUUGCAGUGAGCUGGGCCCUGGCAUAUGCUUAUCGCACCCUGCUAGAUACUGUAGGACAGCAGACAGAGGAAGCAGGGCAGGGAGAUAAAUCAGCAGCUAUCCCAGUCACUCAGGCUGCAGCCAACACCCCAGGCUCGAAGCUAGCAGCUAAACCAGACAGUGAGCCUAAGCUAGCAGCUAAACUAGACUGUAAGCCUCAACCAAUGGCUGUUGCUACUAGCACAAGAAGUGGAAAGUGCACAGAAAAGACUGGUCGACCAGUUGAUGACGAUGAUGAUAAUAAUGCAGGAGAAGGACCCUCAAUGCCUGCUGACAUAAAAUCAGGAGUCAAAGCAACUGGUACAAGAUCAGAGGCCAAUAUUGAGUCCUUUUCCCUAAGGGAACUUUAUGGCCUAAGAAAGGAUUACACUCGACAACCUGAUGAAUCUGUAAUUAGUUGGUUGGUCCAUCUUUGGGAUGCUGCAGGUGAGGCUACAAUUCUGGAUGGCACUGAAGCAAGACCUUUGGGAUCCCUGUCACAUGAUCCUGUCAUUGACCAAGGAAUGAUGAGGGGGGGUAACUCUCACAGCCUCCAGGGCACGCGUUCUGGAAAGUGUAGCACAAAGAUACCUGUGUGCAGAUGAUCUUUAUAUGCAGCAGACUCAGUGGAAGACUACAGAACAAGGGAUCCAACACCUGAGAGAAAUCGCAGUGGCAGAGAUUAACUUCUCAGAUGAAAUAACAACUACGAAUCCAGACUUGGUACCAUGUACAUCAGUGAUGUGGCAAAGACUUGUAUGGCUUGGGCCACAUGAAUAUGCUUCUGCUUUAGCAAUAAUGAAGCAGGAUGAGAGGGAAGAGACCAUGCUCGAUAUGGCAAAGAAGCUCUGAGCAUAUGCAGAUGCCGUACAUGGCCCAACACAUGCCAGAAUUGCAGCAGUGGAAACACGUCUGCAGAAAUUAGAAGACAAGUUAGAGUAGAAUCAUAGGAGACUCAGGGAGGAGAUUUAAGAGGACCUUCUCCAAAUCUCGGCAGUACAGAUCAGAGGUUCUGGUAUCCAACACAGACAUUCCUCAGAUGGGGAGAGAAGCUACCCCCCACGAGCUGAGCUGUGAUUCUUCCUGCACAAUUACGGAGAAAGCAUGAGGAGACGGGACGGAAAAUCUACUGCUGCUCUGGAACAACAGGUGCAUGAAUUGAAGGAAGGCAAGACUCUGAGAGGAAGUUCCACCAAAAGGAGAGCAGCUCCAGUUGCCUGUAGCCAAACUGCCAUGUAUGAUGAUGAUGAUGAUGAUGAUGAUGAUGAUGAUGAUGAUGAUGAUGAUGAUGAUAUGUCCGAUGCCCUUGAAGGAACCUCUAAGACACAUACGAAAGAAGGAUAAACAGUUUUAGAGGGGCCCUGCCUCUAGCCAAGUAGAGAUAAGGGAAAACCGUGUUUUCUGGACUGUGUGGAUUUGAUGGCCUGGCACAUCGUAACCACAAGGAUAUAAGGCUUUGAUUGAUACUGGUGCACAAUGCACGUUAAUUCCAUCGAGACACAUAGGGGCAGAAUCUGUCUCUGUCACUGGUGGGACAGGUGGAUGACAGGACUUUCCCUUGGUGGAAUCUGAUGCAAGUCUGAUGGGAAAUGAGUGGAAGAAACAGCCUAUUGUGACUGGCCCAGAGGCCCCAUGCAUUUUGGGCCUAGAUGACCUCCGAAGGGGGUAUUUGAAAGACCCAAAAAGACACUCAGGUGGGCAUUUGGGAUAGCAGCUGUAGUGACAGAGGGCAUCCGGCAAUUGAACACCUUGCCUGGAGUGUCUGAGAAUCCAUCUAGAGUAGGACUUCUGAAGGGAGAAGAGCAACAGGAACCAACUGUCACUUCAACAGUGCAUCGCUGACAGUAUAGAACAACUGGAGAUGCUGUGGUUCCCAACCACAAGAUGAUCUGAGAGAUGGAGAGGCAAGGGGUGGUCAUCAAAACCCACUCACCAUUCAACAGCCCCAUUUGGCCUGUGCGUAAAUCUGAAGGAGAAUGGAGAUUGACAGUAGACUACCGUGCAUUGAAUGAAGUAACUCCACCAUUGAGCGCUGCUGUGCCAGACAUGCUGGAACUCCAGUACUAGUUGAAGUCCAAGGCAGCGAAGUGGUAGGCCACUAUUGAUAUUGCCACUACAUUUUUCUCCAUUCCUCUGGCAGCAGAAUGCAGGCCUCAGUUUGCCUUUAGGUGGAGGGGAGUGCAGUAUACCUGGAACAGACUGCCCCAGGGGUGGAAGCACAGUCCUGCCAUCUGCCAUGGACUGAUCCAGACUGCACUAGAAAAGGGUGAGGCUCCAGAAAAUGUACAAUAGUAGUUUUCUUCUUCUGGUGAAAAACAAAAAAAAGGCAGAAAUUGUACAGUGCAGGUGUAUUAUUUCACUUCCUGAGAAGCUGAGUAGGUUUGCUACUGCCAGUGGUUUUCAUUAGGAAAGAAGAGAUUCCUUUAGAGAAAAAAAACUUCCAAUUGUCUUUAUAUCAAUGUUAUGGUGCUUAAUUUCACCAAUCAUGAAGAGAAAUUCUCAUCACUUGACAUGGAAAUCAUGAUGGUCAUGGAGACAAGGAUGUCUAGGUCAUGCAUCAGGAACAUCAAAAAGCAUUUGAAUGCAGGUAAGACUGAACUCCUAUACUAGUGAGAAGAGAAUGCAACAAAGACAUUGUCCUUGUAGAGUCUUCAGGAUUAACAGUAGAUCAAUUUUUUCAUGUGAAGUGUUUAUGAAUAGAGUUAACCUUGAAAAUAACAUUGUUUUCAAAGACCUCUCUUCUAAUGAUACACAGUUCUUAUCAAUAGAAAAAGAACAGCACUUUUUUUCAAACUGUUGUGCACUCCUUUGACAAGAAAAAGAGUAUUUUUUCAAGCUGGAAAUGAUGUUAACUACAAAAAUGCCUUGUAGCACAUUUGGCACUGUAGCCUCUUAUCCAAGAUUGAGAGGCAAGAUGUUUUCUAUUGCCAUCUGAGUAGCAGUUGCCUCUGGGCAGUUUUCCCUAUCUCUUGUUAAUGGGCCCCUCAAUGUCUUGCCACAUGGCUCAGAGAUAACUCCCUCCAGAAGCCAUUUUCUGUUUAACAGAAGGUCAAGAACCCACAUCGUGACUCAGAAUGACAUCAGCCCAUGGUGACAUGCUCUGCCCAGGGGUGAGGAGCUAAGCAUUCCCACCUAGAUAUAUCCUGGGAUUUUUUAGACAGAGAGGCAACCUUCUCAAAGGUUUCCAAGAAGACACAUCUGGGGUUUUCCACUAGAUCGACUACACCUUUUCCACAGGACCACUUCACAAACAGAAACCACAUCUGCCACUCCAAGAGGACUGCAGCCACUCCAAUUUGAACUGCUACCAACACACUGGCCAAAGGGGUGUCAGGUUGUAUUCUGACUGUUGGUGGUCUUCCUUUUGUAUUAUUGCAUGUAUUUUGUCUCUUUACCCCUUUACCAAUAAAUUGUAUUUCUG